CGGCGCCUCCCAGCCCUGCUCCCUCGCCUAUGCCUCCAUCUCCCGCACCUCCCAGCCCGGCGCCGCCUAGCCCUGCACCUCCCAGCCCGCCUCCCUCGCCUGUGCCUCCGUCUCCCGCACCUCCCAGCCCGGCGCCGCCUAGCCCUGCACCUCCCAGCCCACCUCCCUCGCCUGUGCCUCCAUCUCCCGCACCUCCCAGCCCUCCUCCCUCGCCUUUGCCUCCGUCUCCCGCACCUCCCAGCCCGGCGCCGCCUAGCCCGGCGCCUCCUUACCCUCCUCCCUCGCCUGUGCCCCCUUCUCCCGCACCUCCCAGCCCGGCGCCGCCUAGCCCGGCGCCUCCCAGCCCUCCUCCCUCGCCUGUGCCUCCGUCCCCCACGCCUCCCAGCCCGGCGCCGCCUAGCCCGGCACCUCCCAGCCCUCCUCCCUCGCCUGUGCCUCCGUCUCCCGCACCUCCCAGCCCGGCGCCGCCUAGCCCGGCGCCUCCCAGCCCUCCCCCCUCGCCUGUGCCUCCGUCUCCCGCACCUCCCAGCCCGGCGCCGCCUAGCCCGGCGCCUCCCAGCCCUCCUCCUUCGCCGGUGCCUCCGUAUCCCGCACCUCCCAGCCCGGCGCCGCCGAGUCCUGAGCCACCGUCACCUGCUCCGCCUUACCCGCCUUCACCAGCUCCUCCUUACCCUGCACCGUCAUAUCCACCUUCUCCGGCGCCCUUCUAUCCUCCUUCACCUGCCCCAUCGUAUCCACCUUCUCCUGCACCCUCCUACCCUCCUUCGCCCGCCCCAUCGUAUCCACCUUCUCCGGCGCCCUCCUAUCCGCCUUCACCUGCCCCAUCGUAUCCACCUUCUCCUGCACCCUCCUACCCUCCUUCACCCGCCCCAUCGUAUCCACCUUCUCCGGCGCCCUCCUAUCCUCCUUCACCUGCCCCAUCGUAUCCACCUUCUCCUGCACCCUCCUACCCUCCUUCACCCGCCCCAUCGUAUCCACCUUCUCCGGCGCCCCUCUACCCUCCCUCUCCUGCCCCAUCGUAUCCACCUUCUCCGGCGCCCCUCUACCCUCCCUCUCCUGCUCCGCCGUUUCCCGCACCACCCAGUCCUCCUUCGCCAGGAGCGCCUCGUCCGCCCCGCCCUCCUCCUCCGCCCCCCCCUUCACCCAGGCCC
Molecule: long non-coding RNA, 1151 nt
Filed under: Chlamydomonas reinhardtii
Lineage: Eukaryota; Viridiplantae; Chlorophyta; Chlorophyceae; Chlamydomonadales; Chlamydomonadaceae
Description: long non-coding RNA (CREI_LNC000967)
Source: RNAcentral